AUACGUAGGGUGCGAGCGUUGUCCGGAAUUACUGGGCGUAAAGAGCUCGUAGGUGGUUUGUCGCGUCGUCUGUGAAAUUCCGGGGCUUAACUCCGGGCGUGCCGGCGAUACGGGCAUAACUUGAGUACUGUAGGGGAGACUGGAAUUCCUGGGGUAGCGGUGAAAUGCGCAGAUAUCAGGAGGAACACCGGUGGCGAAGGCGGGUCUAUGGGCAGUAACUGACGCUGAGGAGCGAAAGCAUGGGUAGCGAACAGGAUUAGAUACCCUGGUAGUCCAUGCCGUAAACGGUGGGCGCUAGGUGUAGGGGUCUUCCACGACUUCUGUGCCGUAGCUAACGCAUUAAGCGCCCCGCCUGGGGAGUACGGCCGCAAGGCUAAAACUCAAAUGAAUUGACGGGG
This 398-nucleotide ribosomal RNA is filed under the name uncultured bacterium. Its description in RNAcentral is "partial 16S ribosomal RNA". It matches the Rfam family "Bacterial small subunit ribosomal RNA", at positions 523 to 918 of the family's 1533-position model. The record is from RNAcentral.